Molecule: ribosomal RNA, 497 nt
Filed under: uncultured bacterium
Lineage: Bacteria
Description: bacterial SSU rRNA
Rfam family: Bacterial small subunit ribosomal RNA
Source: RNAcentral
GGCUCAGAUUGAACGCUGGCGGCAGGCCUAACACAUGCAAGUCGAAUGGUAACAGGAAACAGCUUGCUGUUUCGCUGACGAGUGGCGGACGGGUGAGUAAUGUCUGGGAAACUGCCUGAUGGAGGGGGAUAACUACUGGAAACGGUAGCUAAUACCGCAUAACGUCGCAAGACCAAAGAGGGGGACCUUCGGGCCUCUUGCCAUCAGAUGUGCCCAGAUGGGAUUAGCUAGUAGGUGGGGUAACGGCUCACCUAGGCGACGAUCCCUAGCUGGUCUGAGAGGAUGACCAGCCACACUGGAACUGAGACACGGUCCAGACUCCUACGGGAGGCAGCAGUGGGGAAUAUUGCACAAUGGGCGCAAGCCUGAUGCAGCCAUGCCGCGUGUAUGAAGAAGGCCUUCGGGUUGUGAAGUACUUUCAGCGGGGAGGAAGGGAGUAAAGUUAAUACCUUUGCUCAUUGACGUUACCCGCAGAAGAAGCACCGGCUAACUCCGUG